UGCAUACUGAGCCGCUUGAUCAACGGCUGCUCAACGGUCUGUGGCGGCACAAAUGAAUACACCGGCUGUCAUUUGAGCUGACGGCUGCAAUCCUGAAUGGAGCGAUCCAUCUGGAAUGCGGUCUGAUUCGUCAUGCCCAUUUGCCG
This 146-nucleotide non-coding RNA is filed under the name Ruminococcus flavefaciens. Its description in RNAcentral is "DUF2800 RNA". It matches the Rfam family "DUF2800 RNA". From Rfam's summary of the family: Actinobacteria, Firmicutes, Synergistetes (1 example). Terminator (Clostridia) Lineage: Bacteria; Bacillati; Bacillota; Clostridia; Eubacteriales; Oscillospiraceae. The record is from RNAcentral.